CUCCAGAACUUUGAUUUCAUGUUUCAGCCCCUCAUACUCCACCUGCAGCGCAGCAGGAAGGAUAGCAGUCACGCAACUGGACCCACUGCAUGCAUUAGACAGAAAGGAUGUGAUCCAGGUGGAGGAUCAGCGCUGGGCUGAAGCUGCAGAACCAUCAGCAGACUGAGACCAGAGGAACUAAAACGAAGCAGCUGCUUCUUCUCCAAACUGAUGACCAGUCAGCCAGGAUCAUAUUUCCUCAUGGGGAACAAAGUGUUGAUGAUCAUCUUUGUGACCUGGCUCUGCUUGAGCGUGGAGACCAGCUUCUGCAGGGUGAUGUUCUCCUCCUCCAG
Gambusia affinis (western mosquitofish) is the source of this 332-nucleotide long non-coding RNA. RefSeq lists it as uncharacterized. The transcript has 3 exons. The record is from RefSeq and is a predicted model, not a curated record. NCBI's taxonomy places the organism in Eukaryota, Metazoa, Chordata, Actinopteri, Cyprinodontiformes, Poeciliidae.